AUUGAACGCUGGCGGCAGGCCUAACACACGCAAGUCGAGCGGAUGAAGGGAGCUUGCUCCCGGAUUCAGCGGCGGACGGGUGAGUAAUGCCUAGGAAUCUGCCUGGUAGUGGGGGAUAACGUCCGGAAACGGGCGCUAAUACCGCAUACGUCCUGAGGGAGAAAGUGGGGGAUCUUCGGACCUCACGCUAUCAGAUGAGCCUAGGUCGGAUUAGCUAGUUGGUGGGGUAAAGGCCUACCAAGGCGACGAUCCGUAACUGGUCUGAGAGGAUGAUCAGUCACACUGGAACUGAGACACGGUCCAGACUCCUACGGGAGGCAGCAGUGGGGAAUAUUGGACAAUGGGCGAAAGCCUGAUCCAGCCAUGCCGCGUGUGUGAAGAAGGUCUUCGGAUUGUAAAGCACUUUAAGUUGGGAGGAAGGGCAGUAAGUUAAUACCUUGCUGUUUUGACGUUACCAACAGAAUAAGCACCGGCUAACUUCGUG
RNAcentral lists this ribosomal RNA (484 nucleotides) under uncultured bacterium. RNAcentral describes it as "partial 16S ribosomal RNA". It matches the Rfam family "Bacterial small subunit ribosomal RNA", at positions 30 to 507 of the family's 1533-position model. The record is from RNAcentral.